Molecule: long non-coding RNA, 1922 nt
Organism: Manis pentadactyla (Chinese pangolin)
Lineage: Eukaryota; Metazoa; Chordata; Mammalia; Pholidota; Manidae
Exons: 2
Source: RefSeq, a predicted model, not a curated record
CACAGCACUAGGAGCUGUUGUGAAAUGAUAACCAUGAUGGCUCACAUUAUUGGACCUUACUCUUUUCUGGCUGGGGGCCAGGGCUUUGUGCAUGGCCCCAUUUAAGGGAUGAGAAGCCCUUAGCGUAGUGCCCAGUGGAAUAAGUACUUGAUACUUGGUAGCUAUUACUAUCAAUCUUCAGAAUGACCCUCUGAGGUAGGUACUAUGUUGUUCUCAUUUCUCAGGUGAGGAAGCUGAGGCUUAGAGAGGUUAAUCCACUUGCUGGAAAUCACACAGCAAGUCAGGAGCAGAACCAGUAUUUGAACCCAAUUGGUUUUAAGUAGCAAAUGGUUUUCAGGUGCUCUUCUCUCCCUCCCCACAAUCUGGAGGCUAUGAACCCCAAGGCUUUACUUUACAUAGUUGUAGGGUCACUGAGCAGUGGGUUCUUCGCAUUCAUCCCUCCAAUGGUAUAUGCUAGUGGGCUCUGCUCGGGGACCAGUUCAUCCAACCCAUCCCUCCCCUCCCCUUCUCCAAUGAGAGAACUGGGGAGGGCAGUGACUAUGCAACGUGACAGGCUGAAUGGGAAGAUGCCUCCUCAUCAAAGCAUAAGGAACAAAGAGGCAGGGGAGUGGGGCUGGAGCCCAUCCCUCCUGCUCCCAUCAAACAUGCUGAUACCAAAUAGCAGGCAUCCUCACGCUAGAAUACCUGGCUUUCAUUUGCCAGGCUGGCCCUACAAUCUGGCUACUUGGUGGUGGUCACUUCUGGUCCUCAGUGUCCGGCAGGGUGCGUGAUAUACCUCGUGAGUGAGUGCUGAAUCCCCAGGACAUGAUGAAGAACUGAGCCAGUGGUCAGGUUCAUGCCCCAGGACCAGUGACCAGCAGCCGCCUAGGAACUUCUUAGAAAUGCAAAUUCUCUGUCCAGCAGUCUGGGUUGGAGCCAUGGGAUUCUGGUGCACACUAAAGUUUGAGAACCACCGUUCUGCCAGUGUACACAUUGGCAAAGGGCAACUUGGGCCGCAUAAGAGGAACCAAGGGAUGCGCAAAGCCACGUCUCCAAACGCAGCAAACAGCAGCCCUUCUCUAAGGAGGGGCCCUGUCUCCCCUGACCCCGACCCCGGCCCACGCAUGCUGUUUGGCGGGCUGGCCACUGGAGGGCAGUGCGACCACGUCCCCCGCGCCCCUGCAAAGGCCUCAGGCGGGAGCAGCUCUCGGAGGCCCGCCCGGGAAGCCCGCUGCGGCGGCUUCAGCCGGGAGCGGAGGAACGGAAAGGGGGCUCGUCCCGGGCAGUGGCCUCGGCCUUCGGGUCCCAGACGUUCCUAGAAGCUACAGCGGCUCGGCCGGCGGCACGACGGUCCCGGCUUCGCCGAGGAGGCCUCCCUUCCUCGCGCGGCCAGGGCCGGCCCGGCGGGGAGGGUGGCUGCCCUGGGUCUGGAAGAGCAGAAAGCCGGCGGCGGUGGGAGUGGCCGUCAGGUGUGCGUCAGGCGGCCGUGUCGGGACCCGAGACGCGCUAGAUCCAAGGGCAGGAGCUCCGCCACAGGUCGCACCAGGCUCCCAGCCAAGGAAGGCGCAAGGGCUGGAGGUCGAGAGCUGAAUCUAAGCGCCAAGUCCUUUGGUCUCUCUCCACCGUGAGGGCUUUACAUGCCAUUCCGAAGGCCGCUGGAGGGGCCACAGGACCUCAGCUUCUAGAAUAUUCUUAAUAUUGUCAUUCUUUCAAGGUCCAGUUUAAAUACCCACUCCGGCGGGAAGCCUUCCUCAGUGUCCAGCAGAAGCUGCCUCCCCACCCCCUGCCCGUCUGCAGUACCCUUAGCCUCUGCUGUAGGGCUCUCCGCCUUUCCUCCCUGCGUCCGCCCCCGCCCCCGCUGAACUGUGGGCACCCCAAGGGGAGGGGGCAUGUGGUGGUGGUCUUUGUGCCUCCCGAGGGGCCUCACAUAUGUAGGUCGUUCA